Sinocyclocheilus grahami is the source of this 163-nucleotide long non-coding RNA. RefSeq lists it as uncharacterized. NCBI's taxonomy places the organism in Eukaryota, Metazoa, Chordata, Actinopteri, Cypriniformes, Cyprinidae. The record is from RefSeq and is a predicted model, not a curated record. The transcript is spliced from 3 exons.
UUAUAUUACUGGAUGCUCGAAAUUGAACAGGAGAAUGCACGUUUUAAACAGCUUAUUGUACAGGUAAGUGAAUCGCCGUUCUAAUCGAAUGCGCUGCUGCACACUCACAAGCUACAGACAGUAGCUUGUACAUCACGCACACAUCACGCACGCACAGAAUCAU